CCCCGAUACCGGGGAGGAGGAAAGACGCAUGCCUCAGUGCGUGUGGUAUCUCAGGGGGCCAGCGCCCCCCACUCUGCUAAACCCAAUCGGCCGUACUAUCCCUGCCAAAUGCCGAACCACCCCUCUGGUGGUGACAGGGUCGGGUGCCUACGCCACAGAGUUGUCGGGGCGGUGCGUCAUUACUGAUGUUGGUGGUAAGGCCCUGGAUGGCGUUGCCCCGGCGUGACGUGCAGCAAUGAACACGCUUGCGCCAUCCAUAUGAUGGACAGAGCGCCAGCGUGGCUCGAACGCAUCUCACCCGGCCCUCGCUGCCCAGUGCGGGGAGGCUGAGCGACGCCGAGGAACGCACUGCGUGGCGGCUGGAAUGAUGACAGCGCGUCUGUGAGACCACCUGCGAGGCCGGGGCGGUGCUCUAAGGUGACCGACUCGGCGCAUUGCUGCAACCCACGCCUACGACUGCUUCGCACCACGCGAGGUGGGCCUGUGACAGCUGGGAAUCAAGUGGAACUGAACGCACGUUCUGCGGCAGGGCGAACACCCUGGGGGAAAAAGCAUUCUUUUCAGUCUGUGUCAGACAUGCUUUUCCUCCUUCGUCUUGCUCAUGAGAACGGAGGCCCUUUGCUUUGUGUUGUCCCGAAGUCCCCCUCAUGCUCUUCACCGCCGAGCUUCUGAAGGAACAAAGCAUGCGAUCAACACGGCGCGCCACCGUGAUGCUCUCUGUCCUGUGUGCGUGUGUGUGCGCGUGCCACACACAACGAUGUGCCGCUUCAAUCGCUGCGCCCUUCACGUUGGUGAAUGCCUCUUGAGGGCGCUUAAAAAAGGAAGAAAAAGCGUGCUUUCUGUGCGCUUCUCCUUCAGCGCGGUCUAGUCGUGGGUAUAUAAAGUUGACGAAGAGAGAUGAUGAAGGGAGCCGGUGCCUGUGUCAAACAACAAAAGAAGACAUCUCGUGCUGAGAUGGAGCGCCUUCCGUCGUCAGCGUACGUGGAGGGCAGGGGUGCACAUACAUGCUCGGCCUGCUCAAAAUGCUUCAGCUCUUUUCAAGUUUUGCACUAGCAGUGCAGAGAUGGUGCGUGCUGCGGAUGCGCGAGGGGCAGCUUUACACCGCCCUCCUCCUGCGAGGACAGACGGAGGAUGAGAGUGAGCUGAAGGUGACUCAAAGUGCUCCGCAAGCAAGCACCACAAUUGGUACUUCGCGUUGCGCCGCGACUACAUCCUUCGGUUUUAGCAUUAACGCUUUCACGAAGGCCGACAACUUGACCUCUUCCUUUCAUCACCUUUGCCUUCCCGCAUGCUGACAUUAGCGUCCUUGUUGGCGCGCGCGCACAG
This 1326-nucleotide unclassified non-coding RNA is filed under the name Leishmania donovani. Its description in RNAcentral is "gene:unknown". The record is from RNAcentral. Lineage: Eukaryota; Euglenozoa; Kinetoplastea; Trypanosomatida; Trypanosomatidae.